AGCUUAUAAGUUAUUUAAAUUUAUAUUUAUUUUUUUGUUUUGAUAGAAUUAGUUUUGUUUUUAUUAUUUUGUAAGAAUAAAGGUCUUGUGUUUAUUACAGUGUACUAGUAUUGUAAAAGAAUUUUAAAAAUUUUAAAAAAGAAGAAUUUAAUUUUUGUACCUUGUGUAUCAGGGUUUGUUAAUUAAAGUUUAUUUUUUUAAGUUUCUCGAAUUUAAAAGAGUUAUAGGUUUAUGUUUAUUGUUGUGGCAGAAGCAUUAUAAAUAUCUCUAUGGAAAAGAAAUUUUAUUCGAUUUUAAAUAUAUCUAGUUUUUUAAGAAAAAAAUUUAAUUUGCUUUUCAUUUGACUGUAGUUUUAAUUGAAUAAUAAGGCAGUAGUGAAAUUUUAUAUUUUAAGGGUUGAGCUUUAAUAUAUAUAUAUACAAUACAUGUAAAAGUUAUUAUUAGUAGAAUUGAAAGUUUUUAUCUUUGAGAGUGUUUUAUUACUGAUUAUAGGUUAAUUAAAAUUUUUAUAAUAUUUAUUUGUUUUAUUAAAAUUUAGGUUUUAAUUUUUUGAACUUAGGAAUAAUGAUAGAAUUAGUAUAAUUUUAGGUAAUUUUUAGAUUGAUUGAAAGGUUUCAUAAAGGAAUUCGGCAAAAAUGACUUUCCACCUGUUUAAUAAAAACAUGGCUUGUUGAUAAUAAUUUCAGGUCUGGCCUGCCCACUGAUUUAAUUAAAUGGCCGCGGUAUAUUGACUGUGCAAAGGUAGCAUAAUCAUUAGUUUUUUAAUUGAGAGCUUGAAUGAAGGGUUUGAUGAGAAAGUUUCUGUCUCUGUGGUAAUAGUUUAAAAUUUUAUUUUUAAGUUAAAAAGCUUAGAUUCUUGUAGAAGACGAGAAGACCCUAUAGAGUUUUAUAUUUGUGGAAGAGAGGGUAUUAGGGAAAUAUUAUGGUUCUUUUUUACAAGUAUUUUGUUGGGGUGAUGAAAAAAUUGAAAGAACUUUUUUUAAUAUAGACAUUGAUUUAUGAGUUUUUGAUCCUACAAUUUAGAUUAUAAGAUUAAAUUACCUUAGGGAUAACAGCGUAAUUUUCUUUAGAGUUCUUAUCAAAAAGAAAGAUUGCGACCUCGAUGUUGGAUUAAAAUAAAUAGUUGGUGCAAAAGCUAAUAUAUUAGGUCUGUUCGACCUUUAAAAUUUUACAUGAUCUGAGUUUAGACCGGUGUAAGCCAGGUUGGUUUCUAUCUCUAUAAAUAUAAAAUAUUUUAGUACGAAAGGACCAAGUAUUUAAUUGAAAAUUUUUUUUUAAGAAUUAUAGUAA
RNAcentral lists this ribosomal RNA (1290 nucleotides) under Trigonopterus selaruensis. RNAcentral's name for it is "16S ribosomal RNA". The stretch from base 860 to 1219 matches the Rfam family "Archaeal large subunit ribosomal RNA", at positions 2151 to 2715 of the family's 2987-position model. The record is from RNAcentral. Lineage: Eukaryota; Metazoa; Arthropoda; Insecta; Coleoptera; Curculionidae.